UACAGAGGGUGCAAGCGUUGUUCGGAAUCAUUGGGCGUAAAGGGCGUGUAGGCGGUUUGUUAAGUCAUGUGUGAAAUCCCCCGGCUCAACCGAGGAACGACGCAUGAAACUGGCAAGCUAGAGUACCGAAGAGGGGGGUGGAAUUCCUGGUGUAGCGGUGAAAUGCGCAGAUAUCAGGAAGAACACCUAUGGCGAAGGCAGCUCUCUGGGACGGUACUGACGCUGAGACGCGAAAGCGUGGGGAGCGAACAGG
RNAcentral lists this ribosomal RNA (253 nucleotides) under uncultured bacterium. RNAcentral's name for it is "partial 16S ribosomal RNA". It matches the Rfam family "Bacterial small subunit ribosomal RNA", at positions 524 to 776 of the family's 1533-position model. The record is from RNAcentral.